UACGUAGGGGGCUAGCGUUGUCCGGAAUCAUUGGGCGUAAAGCGCGCGUAGGCGGCCCGGUAAGUCCGUUGUGAAAGUCAAAGGCUCAACCUUUGAAAGCCGAUGGAUACUGCCGGGCUAGAGUCCGGAAGAGGCGAGUGGAAUUCCUGGUGUAGCGGUGGAAUGCGCAGAUAUCAGGAGGAACACCGAUAGCGAAGGCAGCUCGCUGGGACGGUACUGACGCUAAGGCGCGAAAGCGUGGGGAGCGAACAGG
RNAcentral lists this ribosomal RNA (253 nucleotides) under uncultured bacterium. Its description in RNAcentral is "partial 16S ribosomal RNA". It matches the Rfam family "Bacterial small subunit ribosomal RNA", at positions 524 to 776 of the family's 1533-position model. The record is from RNAcentral.